This 331-nucleotide long non-coding RNA is filed under the name Monodelphis domestica (gray short-tailed opossum). Its description in RNAcentral is "lncRNA (ENSMODG00000032468.2)". The record is from RNAcentral. Lineage: Eukaryota; Metazoa; Chordata; Mammalia; Didelphimorphia; Didelphidae.
AGAAGAGUGGUCAACUUGCUUAGGAGAGGGAGUUUCCUUACCAAGAGUUCCCCCCACUGAUAUCUCUAGACCAAAAGCGGCAAUAAGGACCACUCUGCUAGACCUUUCAGUACCAUCGUUCAGUCAUCAGUAUGUUUGUGUACAAUAACUCCUAUAGAAGUGCUUGCCAGUGUAACAUUAUUUCUAAAGAUCAAGAAGGAAGGGAAGCCAGAGGAAGUGCCUGUUCCUAGCACCGACUUCUCUGCAGCUAGUGGACAAAAAGCCCUUAUUCCCCCCUCCCCCCGCCCCAUCCCCACAGAUGUCCAAAAAUAAAUAAAUAAAUAAAGACAGG